GAAUCCAAGGAUGAGACUAUAUCAUGAACCAAGGAUAUGAUUAACCCAGUUCUGUACAUCAGAUGUCUGUU
RNAcentral lists this small nucleolar RNA (71 nucleotides) under Tursiops truncatus (common bottlenose dolphin). RNAcentral's name for it is "Small nucleolar RNA SNORD112 (ENSTTRG00000025107.1)". The record is from RNAcentral. Lineage: Eukaryota; Metazoa; Chordata; Mammalia; Artiodactyla; Delphinidae.